This 495-nucleotide ribosomal RNA is filed under the name uncultured bacterium. Its description in RNAcentral is "bacterial SSU rRNA". It matches the Rfam family "Bacterial small subunit ribosomal RNA", at positions 28 to 529 of the family's 1533-position model. The record is from RNAcentral.
GACGAACGCUGGCGGCGUGCCUAACACAUGCAAGUCGAGCGGAGAUGUACUGAAGAUUUAUCGGAUGUACAUCUUAGCGGCGGACGGGUGAGUAACGCGUGGGCAACCUGCCUUUCACUGGGGGAUAACACAGGGAAACCUGUGCUAAUACCGCAUGACAUCACGUAGGGCAUCCUAUGUGAUCAAAGGAGAGAUCCGGUGGAAGAUGGGCCCGCGUCCAAUUAGCUGGUUGGUGAGGUAAAGGCUCACCAAGGCGACGAUUGGUAGCCGAACUGAGAGGUUGAUCGGCCACAUUGGGACUGAGACACGGCCCAGACUCCUACGGGAGGCAGCAGUGGGGAAUAUUGCGCAAUGGGGGGAACCCUGACGCAGCAACGCCGCGUGAAGGAAGAAGGUCUUCGGAUUGUAAACUUCUUUGAUGAGGACGAAUAAAGUGACGGUACCUCAAAAACAAGCCACGGCUAACUACGUGCCAGCAGCCGCGGUAAAAGUCUA